AAGGAUUUCCUAUCUCACUGUUUUGAGAUGAAGGAUUUAGGAGUGGCUGAUGUCAUUCUGAACAUCAAGUUGUUGAGAGAUGAUGAUGGCGGGAUUACAUUGCUUCAAUCUCACUAUGUGGAAAAGAUCUUGAGUCGCUUUGGCUAUAGUGACUGCAAGCCCUCUCCAACACCAUAUGACGCUAGCGUGCUGCUUCGAAAGAAUCGAAGAAUUGCUAGAGAUCAAUUGAAGUAUUCUCAGAUUAUUGGCUCGCUUAUGUACUUAGCAAGUGCUACAAGACCUGACAUCUCUUUUGCUGUUAGCAAACUGAGUCGGUUUGUUUCAAAACCAGGAGAUGUGCAUUGGAAAGCUCUAGAGAGAGUUUUGCGUUAUUUGAAAGGC
Molecule: ribosomal RNA, 381 nt
Filed under: Triticum aestivum (bread wheat)
Lineage: Eukaryota; Viridiplantae; Streptophyta; Magnoliopsida; Poales; Poaceae
Description: partial small subunit ribosomal RNA
Source: RNAcentral